UUUAUUAUAAAUUACAUUAAUUACAUCGAUCGUUUUAACAUUAAUUUAUUAUAAAUUACAAAAUUAUUACAUCGAUCAUUUUACAAUGAACAAUUAUAUCGUGUUAUGAUGAUUCAAGCUUUUAUAAUUCCAUCGUUUUAUGAAGAUAUAUGGCUAACGGUUAGAACAGCUUCAUUGGAUGAGAACUUUUUGGUGUAGAAUCAUUUUGUUGGGAACUUAACUUCGAAUCACACAUAAGCAUGUUGAUUCUUCACGGACCAAACACAAAAUUAAAGUAACUUUGACACCAAGAAUUAACGAGUUCCCCUCCGCAAGGGUACAUCUCGUGUGGGAACCUUCUCCCACAAACAUCCACUAUCUUAUCAAAGGUUUAUACAACGCUCUCAACCGGCGCUUUCUUUGUGUUUCAGGUACAAGCUUAAAGAGAACACAACAACAUAUUAAGAAGAUCAAAGAAACUCGGUCUCUCAAAGACAUGGCUCCAAAGUGUCUAUUUCUCUGGUUUCUUAUGUCUUGAUCUUCCUCUCGAUGUUCUCUGCCGUGAACCUCUAUUAGGGUUGCUUUCUCUGAACGUCUUGUGCCUUCUUUUAUACGCAAAAGAUAUUGCCGACUUGGAUUGAUAAAUGGGCUUGGUUUGGGCUUCGAGAUUAAAUAACUGAGGCCAUAACUAACAAUCUCCACCUUGAGUCCAGUUCAUUUAUCCAUCGUCUCUCUUCCGAUCACGACAAUCUACCUUGUCGUAACACAGACCAAGCCAAGCUUCUUUGAUGACAAAGACACUGCACUUCCCGAUCCUCCAUGUUCUCAGGCGGCUUCUCCGACGAGACUAUUCGCAGCCUCCACCAGCGAUCUUCUGUUUUGGAUGACCAACUUGUUGUGGCCUCACUCUCUGUGGUAAUUAAAUAUACAAAAUCACCAAUGAAACCUCCAAAAGCUGUUCCACAAAGAUUGUGUUCGCUAUCGUCUCAACUGCCGACGAGGUAUCUCAUGGUGCAGAUUAAUGCACCUUCUCUGCAACCUCAUCUCUGGAGACCGUUGAUGCUCUGAAACUUCACCAUUUAAGAUAGUGAAAUCUGGAUGUAAUUUUAACUAGCCAUCACAUCCUCCAAUGUCAAUCUCCGACACUGUUGGCUUCUGUAGUCUGAGAUUUCUGGCUCUACAUUUAUAAUAACUCAUUCGACUCCUUUGAUUACUUGUGGUACUCCACCUGAAACCAUUGAUACCAAUUCCUUGUCACGACUUUACCUCCAAGAAGAGCACAUCUUCUCUUACAUGUCUGGACAACGCUUGCAGUAAAUAGCUUCUCCGAUGAACAUCCCAUGAUCUUCAACUGUCUCGUUGACCUCAGCUGCUCCACCUGGAAUCAAGUUUACCUCACCUCGGCUCCGGAUGCCUAAAAGGUACAAGCUUAAAGAGAACACAACAACAUAUUAAGAAGAUCAAAGAAACUCGGUCUCUCAAAGACAUGGCUCCAAAGUGUCUAUUUCUCUGGUUUCUUAUGUCUUGAUCUUCCUCUCGAUGUUCUCUGCCGUGAACCUCUAUUAGGGUUGCUUUCUCUGAACGUCUUGUGCCUUCUUUUAUACGCAAAAGAUAUUGCCGACUUGGAUUGAUAAAUGGGCUUGGUUUGGGCUUCGAGAUUAAAUAACUGAGGCCAUAACUAACACAUUUAUCAAUUCUUAAUCAAAUUACUAUAUAAAAAAAAACCUUUUAUGUA
Molecule: long non-coding RNA, 1714 nt
Organism: Brassica napus (rape)
Lineage: Eukaryota; Viridiplantae; Streptophyta; Magnoliopsida; Brassicales; Brassicaceae
Exons: 7
Source: RefSeq, a predicted model, not a curated record